AAGUCGUAACAAGGUUUCCGUAGGUGAACCUGCGGAAGGAUCAUUAUUGAAUAUAAACUUGGAUAGACUGCUGCUGGCUUCUCUUUGAGGGGCAUGUGCACGUUUGUCCUCUUUAUUUUUCCACCUGUGCACCUUUUGUAGGCUUGGAUUAUCACUGGUUCUAUAACGUGUCUUUCAAAGGCAUAAGAAUUGUUUUGGGGCUGCUGUGUUUAAACGCAUGUUUAUCAGCUUUCCCUUUUAUUUUCCAAGUCUAUGUUUGCUAUAUACACUCCAGAAAUGUAAUAGAAUGCUGUACUUUAGGUCAUUUGUACCUAUAAUAAAAAUCAGUACAACUUUCAGCAACGGAUCUCUUGGCUCUCGCAUCGAUGAAGAACGCAGCGAAAUGCGAUAAGUAAUGUGAAUUGCAGAAUUCAGUGAAUCAUCGAAUCUUUGAACGCAUCUUGCGCUCCCUGGUAUUCCAAGGAGCAUGCCUGUUUGAGUAUCAUUAAAUUAUCAACUGUGCCAAUUUGGUUACAGAUUGGAUGUGGGAGAUUUCUUGCAGGCUUUUAACUUUCUCUUUGAGAAAGAAAAGUCAGCUCUCCUGAAAUGUAUUAGCAGUGCCUUUGUUGGUUCAUUAGGUGUGAUAAUUUAUCUACAUCUUCAAAUGGUACCUUCAUUUGUAAAGGUCAUAUUGCUUCUAAUUGUCUUUGGGACAAAACACGUAUAAUGCGUGACAGACUUGAUCUCAAAUCAGGCAGGACUACCCGCUGAACUUAAGCAUAUCAAUAAGCGGAGGAAAAGAAACUAACAAGGAUUCCCCUAGUAACUGCGAGUGAAGCGGGAAGAGCUCAAAUUUAAAAUCUGGCGUGCCUCUGGCCGUCCGAGUUGUAGUCUGGAGAAGCGUUUUCCGUGUUGGACCGUGUACAAGUCUCUUGGAACAGGGCGUCAUAGAGGGUGAGAAUCCCGUCUUUGACACGGACUACCAAUGCUUUGUGAUGCGCUCUCAAAGAGUCGAGUUGUUUGGGAAUGCAGCUCAAAAUGGGUGGUAAAUUCCAUCUAAAGCUAAAUAUAGGCGAGAGACCGAUAGCGAACAAGUACCGUGAGGGAAAGAUGAAAAGCACUUUGGAAAGAGAGUUAAACAGUACGUGAAAUUGCUGAAAGGGAAACGCUUGAAGUCAGUCACGUCUGCCAGGACUCAGCCUCGCUUCUGCUUGGUGUACUUUCUGGUUUGAUGGGCCAACAUCAAUUUUGACCGUUGGAGAAAGGCCUUGGGAAUGUGGCACCUUCGGGUGUGUUAUAGCCCUUUGCUGUAUACAACGGUUGGGAUUGAGGACUGCAGCACGCCUUCAUGGCCGGGGUUCGCCCACGUACGUGCUUAGGAUGUUGGCAUAAUGGCUUUAAGCGACC
RNAcentral lists this ribosomal RNA (1386 nucleotides) under uncultured fungus. Its description in RNAcentral is "eukaryotic LSU rRNA". The stretch from base 720 to 1386 matches the Rfam family "Eukaryotic large subunit ribosomal RNA", at positions 1 to 649 of the family's 3401-position model. Lineage: Eukaryota; Fungi. The record is from RNAcentral.